RNAcentral lists this small RNA (2543 nucleotides) under Pan troglodytes (chimpanzee). RNAcentral's name for it is "retained intron". Lineage: Eukaryota; Metazoa; Chordata; Mammalia; Primates; Hominidae. The record is from RNAcentral.
CAAUACAGUGGAGUGAUGUAACCUGGAGUGCUGGGGAGGGGGCUUUGAAUGGAACUGGGUAGCAGGGGCUAUGAAGAACGAUGCCCAGUGGCUCAAGGCAGGAAAGGAGGCCAGUGUGGUGGGGGCCAGGUGGUCCCAGGUAGGGGAUGCAGAUAAGGCUGGGGGUCGCUGGGUUUUCCCUAAGGAUGCAGUGGGAUCCCGGACCUUGUGGGCUUUGAGUCCCAGUCCAGAUCUCAGGUUCUGUCCUGAUGGGGCCCUGACUCAUAUGGACUGGCAAAGCUUUCGGGAUUUGGAAUCUCAGGAUCUGCCCAGCCCUUGUGCCUGGACACAGCACAUAAGUGCGUCCACUGGUCUCUCUCUUCCACUGCCUUCUGUCAGUAGAAGCCACCAAUCGAGAAGCAGGGAGUUUUGAUGUUACACUGGUCUGCUCUGGAGUUUUAUAUUUAUUAGACUGAAUUGCACUUUUUAUCUUCUUAAGAAGGACUAAAAAAGCUGCGAGGCCUGGCAGGGGAUCAGGGAGGAUGAGUGUCCUGAGCAGAGAGGUAGGGUUACCAGGUAUUUCUGUUUGCCCUGAACUGGUCACAUAGCCCCAGUGCCCCUCAGCAGAGAGACAGGGUGAAUGAAGGAGCUGGUGCAGUCAGUCCUAGAGGAGACGCACAGAUGCCUCUGAGAAAGCCGGUUGCAGAUGACACACACCCAGGCUCAGUGCAGGUGACCUGUGGGCAUGCAAAAUAGUACAAUUCAGGGAUGUUUGCUUAUCGCUUAUUAUUUAUUUAUAAUGGUGUCGUAUGGAAUAUUUUAUUGAAAAGGCCAGAAAGGUCUCCUUUACCCACGUGUUUCUGGCUCUGCCCUGGGUGAAUGGAGUGCCCGCAUCUCUCCCUCUUAGCUGGGACCACACAGGAGAUGCUUGCGUGCCUGUCCCUUCACUGCUAGUGAGAGAGUACAGAUGAUGAGAAAAGACACCAGUCGUGGACCAUGUGCAGUGGCUUAUGCCUGUAAUCCCAGCACUUUGAGAGGCUGAGGCGGGCAGAUCACUUGAGGUCAGGAGUUCGAGACCAGCCUGGCCAACAUGGUGAAACCCCAUCUCUACCAAAAAAAAAGACAGCAGCCGUACGCCUAGGACUGACACAUUGUUAUUAUCAUGGACGCUAAUCACAAGAUGUCAUGUGCAGUGGCGUGCAGGUGGUGUGCACGCAGAUCUGCGAACAGCCCACCUGCACGCACCAGCAUACAGAUGAGCUCAAAGAUCGCUUUCCUAGGGCACCGUCACAAGCACUGCAACCUGUGUCCAGCUGCACAAAAGGGCUGAGAGAGUGGCCGCGGCUCUGAUGGAGAAGGGAAGACUGAGUGUUGGGGACCAUGUGGCUCUGGUCUACCCACCAGGGGUGGACCUCAUUGCCGCGUUCUAUGGCUGCUUGUACUGUGGCUGCGUGCCUGUCACCGUGCGGCCCCCGCACCCUCAGAACCUCGGCACCACACUGCCCACCGUCAAGAUGAUCGUGGAGGUCAGCAAGUCUGCAUGCGUCCUCACCACGCAGGCUGUCACACGGCUGCUCAGGUCCAAGGAGGCUGCUGCCGCCGUGGACAUCAGGACCUGGCCCACCAUCCUAGACACAGAUGACAUCCCGAAAAAGAAGGUAGCGAGCAUUUUCAGGCCCCCCUCCCCUGACGUCCUCGCAUACUUGGACUUCAGCGUGUCAACCACUGGGAUAUUAGCGGGAGUGAAGAUGUCACACGCGGCCACAAGCGCCUUAUGCCGCUCCAUAAAGCUGCAGUGUGAGCUGUACCCCUCGCGGCAGAUCGCCAUCUGCCUCGACCCCUACUGUGGCCUUGGUUUUGCCCUGUGGUGUCUGUGCAGUGUCUACUCGGGACACCAAUCAGUGCUGGUGCCCCCGCUGGAGCUGGAGAGCAACGUGUCCCUGUGGCUGUCGGCCGUCAGCCAGUACAAGGCCCGCGUCACCUUCUGCUCCUACUCUGUGAUGGAGAUGUGCACCAAGGGCCUGGGCGCACAGACGGGUGUCCUCAGGAUGAAGGGGGUGAACCUGUCAUGUGUGCGCACGUGCAUGGUGGUCGCCGAGGAGCGGCCCAGGAUUGCGCUGACCCAGUCCUUCUCCAAGCUCUUCAAGGACCUGGGCCUGCCGGCCCGCGCUGUAAGCACCACGUUCGGGUGCAGGGUCAACGUGGCCAUCUGCCUCCAGGUGAGGUGCUUGGGGCCGGCGGUUCUCGAAAGCUGGCUGUUGGCAGCAUGGAGACCCAGUUUCCCAGUUGUUAAUGUGCAGUUUUGUACCCGCCUGAUCUAUUUCUCCUUCUCUGAGCCUUUGAUAUUUCAUUUCCAUGUAACAUUUUAGCUUCAAGGGUUUUAUUUUUAAAGAUAUUCUAUUCUAGUUGAAGAAAGGCUUAUUUGGAAAAAAACACAUUGUUUUUGAACAAUGACUAAUAACUGUAAGACUCUCUAAGUUAGAUAUAAAACACAGCUAAGUUCUUAAAGCAAGAUUGAACUUACUGUUUUAAGAUAUCUAGCAAUAUUAAAUUGAAACAUUAAU